AUAAAAGCCUAUUAAUGCACUCCUAAGGAUUGAGGUUCUUGCCAGCAGAGCCAUCUGUCAAGAGAUUACAGAGAAGGAAAUUUCUGCAGGAAUCUUCCCCUGGGACGAGAUAAAGUGCCAAGAAAAGGUGUGUGGCAUCAGGAGUGAGGACAAACUCCGAGAGUCCUCUGCAGUGCUUAUCGCAGACAGAGAGGAAACCAUCCACCCACUGGCAGUCAGGGAAGAGGAAGAGAAGAGAGGGAAGUCUCUGGAUUGCUUUUGACCAGAGAAGUGAGGUCGUAUUGAAAAGAGUUUACAAAAACAAAUUCCUUAUAAGCAUUUUCCAUUUAUGUCUCAGAAUCCACUCUUCACCAUUCUGCAUCCUGCUCUCUGCUCUGGAGACUCCCUGGGAACUGUAUCCAUGGUCUCCUGCCUUCCAGACUGGGGUUGGAUUUGUCCAUUGUGAGAUGAAAAAAGUGAACUCAGAAUGGUUGGCCGAAUGCGGUGGCUCAUGCCUGUAAUCCUAGCACUUCGGGAGGCUGAGGUGGGCAGAUUGUGUGAGGUCAGGAUUUCAAGAUCAGCUUGAUCAACAUGGCGAAACCCCGUCUCUACUAAAAAUACAAAAAUUAGCCAGGUAUGGUGGUGCACACCUGUAGUCCCAGCUAUUCAGGAGGCUGAGGCACAAGAGAAUUGCUUAAACCCAGCAGGCAGAGGUUGCAGUGAGCUGAGAUUGCGCCACUGCACUCCUGCCUGGGUGACAGAUGGAGACACUAUCUCAAAGCAAACAAAAAAUCGUUAAGAGAUUUAUACAAUUAACAGUGACUGAGUGGCACUGUCAGGAUUUAUAUUUCAGCAUUUAAAAAAAUCACUCUGCCUCAUUUAGCAAUUGGAUAAUCACAAGUGAUCCAACUUUUAUUUCUCAGACUAGUUAGAAACAUCAGUCUGAAAUUAAUUUCUCUACCACUGAAUUCAUUGUUUUUUUAAACUUAUGCUCACAGCAAAGGAUGAGGAACAAGUUACCAUAGCAUUUAUUCCAUGCAUGUUGAGCUGUAGAAUCCUACAGAAUUUGUUAUCCAAUGUGUUAAAAAUCAUCUAGCUUUAUAACAAAAAACCAAGAGUUGACCACAUUUUCAAAAAAGCGUAAUAACUGUCUUGAAACAUGUCCUGAAUACAACUAUAAUAAGAUGUCUUAAUUAUAACUUACUUUUAAGAAUUAUUUGAACUUCAUUUUUAGGUUAAAUAAUAAAAAUUUGUUAAAGAUUUUAACAAUAUUGAAUUACAUAUAUUGUCUAACUCAAUAAUGUUGACCAAACUCUCAAUGAGAGAGUUUUAAAAAUCAUGUGGCAAACCCUUUAGCAGAAGUGUUUCUGUAUUAUAUUUGUUAACUAGAAAAAGAUGCUACUUUACUAUUAAUUUAGAGAACAAAUGCAAAAGAUAUAAAGUAAAUUUAGGCACAAUGCAAAAUGUUGAGGGGUUUUAAAUCUUAGGAGUAGUCUUGUGGGAAAUAAUUGUUUAGGUCUUGAAAAUUUAAACCUUCUACACAUUUUGCUAAAACAUGAUAUGUCCAAUAUCUCUACUCUUUCCUCAAACAUGAAUAGCUUCGUAAAAAGGUGUUCAUUCACUUAAGGACAUCCGUGAGUUUCCUUAAAUACGGAAAAGGCAAAAAACAUGAAAGAUGAGAAUGAACUCCAGUGUAAAUACAGAUAAAUAUGGCGACAGCUGUUGCUGAAUAGUUACAGAAUUAGCUUGAGAAAUGAAACCUCUGUAGUUCACACACAGGCACACACAUACACACACACACACUUUGGAUUUAUUUAUGAAACAGCAUCUUCUAAACACAGAACCUUGCAUUGCAGAAAAGGCAAUUAAAUAGAACAGCAUGAGGUUGUCAAUCACUUCAACAACUAACAAAAGCAUUGACUAUCAAAGCAAAUAAUGUUAAUGUGCAAAAAGGUACCUUGCUAUCAAAGCAAAUAAUGUAAACAUGCAAAGGCAAAGAAUUCUCUGUAUCAAAUGUCACCAUUUUAAUGUUCACCAUUUUUGUGACUGUUUUUGCAUAUGCAUGAUACUAUAUCAGUAAUUCUGAAAUUUGAUAUAGAAUUGGCCAUUAUCAUUUCUUAGAGGAUUUGGUCAUCCUGUGAUGCUUUUGUAAGAGGUGGGGACUUUCUUUUUCCUUCUUUUCUUUCUUUUUUGUGUUGUUGCUAGUGUUAUACAAAUAAAUGGACAGUCACAGCUUA
Non-coding RNA from Homo sapiens (human), 2216 nucleotides. The record is from RefSeq and is a predicted model, not a curated record. NCBI's taxonomy places the organism in Eukaryota, Metazoa, Chordata, Mammalia, Primates, Hominidae.